CUUCGUUGGCAGGUUUUCCUCCAAGCUGCCAUAGAAAGAAACUGUCUUUUCGAUAUUGCCCUGACAGUCCAAAUAUCGUAGAACAAUAUUUCGUCAGUGUAAUGGGUCAAGAUUUUAGACAUUUUGGGUAUGUAAAAGCUCACCAUUCUAUAUAGUAUCUUAAAUAAACCAUACAAAUGUAAUAUAGAAUGUCUAUGUGUUUCAAUGAUAGGAAGGUUUACCAGGAAUAUUGUGAAGCCAUGAACAAGCUUUCCAUGGAGGUUAUGGAGCUGCUGGGAUUAAGUCUGGUACUCGGCCGAGCUUACUUGAGAGAUUUCUUCCAAGGAAAUGACUCAAUCUUGAGACUGAAUCAUUAUCCGCC
RNAcentral lists this long non-coding RNA (361 nucleotides) under Gossypium raimondii (Peruvian cotton). RNAcentral describes it as "long non-coding RNA (GRAI_LNC005154)". The record is from RNAcentral. Lineage: Eukaryota; Viridiplantae; Streptophyta; Magnoliopsida; Malvales; Malvaceae.